GAUGAACGCUGACAGAAUGCUUAACACAUGCAAGUCGACUUGAAGCAACUUCGGUUAUGGAAAGUGGCGGACGGGUGAGUAACGCGUAAAGAACUUGCCCUUCAGUCUGGGACAACCAUUGGAAACGAUGGCUAAUACCGGAUAUUAUGGAACUCUCGCAUGGGAGGAUCAUGAAAGCUAUAUGCGCUGAAGGAGAGCUUUGCGUUCCAUUAGCUAGUUGGUGAGGUAACGGCUCACCAAGGCGACGAUGGAUAGCCGGCCUGAGAGGGUGAUCGGCCACAAGGGGACCGAGACACGGCCCUUACUCCUACGGGAGGCAGCAGUGGGGAAUAUUGGACAAUGGACCAAAAGUCUGAUCCAGCAAUUCUGUGUGCACGAUGAAGGUUUUCGGAUCGUAAAGUGCUUUCAGUUGGGAAGAAGAAAGUGACGGUACCAACAGAAGAAGCGACGGCUAAAUACGUGCCAGCAGCCGCGGUAAUACGUAUGUCGCAAGCGUUAUCCGGAUUUAUUGGGCGUAAAGCGCGUCUAGGCGGGUUCAUAAGUCUGAUGUUAAAAUGCGGGGCUCAACUCCGUAUUGCGUUGGAAACUGUGAACCUAGAGUAUCAGAGAGGUGGGCGGAACUACAAGUGUAGAGGUGAAAUUCGUAGAUAUUUGUAGGAAUGCCGACGGAGAAGUCAGCUCACUGGAUGAAUACUGACGCUAAAGCGCGAAAGCGUGGGUAGCAAACAGG
This 730-nucleotide ribosomal RNA is filed under the name uncultured bacterium. Its description in RNAcentral is "bacterial SSU rRNA". It matches the Rfam family "Bacterial small subunit ribosomal RNA", at positions 28 to 776 of the family's 1533-position model. The record is from RNAcentral.